UAAGAAGUAGAAAAAAAAAUAAAUCAACUUUUCAUUCAUUUUCAUGCCAGCUACUCUUUGAGUACCUUUUAAUCAAAAGAAAAAAAAAAG
Molecule: non-coding RNA, 90 nt
Filed under: Chloropicon laureae
Lineage: Eukaryota; Viridiplantae; Chlorophyta; Chloropicophyceae; Chloropicales; Chloropicaceae
Source: RNAcentral